AGUAGGGUUUCAUCCUUCCUUAGCCUCCUAGUUUCUAGACUAGUGAUAACUCCCCCCUUCUUUAAAAAAAUCUUGCCCUCAAGGUGAGGGAAAACUUCUAUGAGCUAUUUUUCUUCUGCCUAAACAAUAUCAUUUAUAUGUUGUCUAUUCCAACAAACCAAGAGUUCCUUUUCCCUUUUUAUCUACUUUUUAUUUUAUCUAGUCUUUAUUUCCCUUGUGUCAAGUACUUUAACAGGUUCAUGUUUAGGCUUUCCUUCUUAACCAUAAGGGGUAAUUUGAGUUCAGGUUGUUUGUUUGAACCAAUCCUUCUUUUGAGCAACAAUACAAGGAAUGUUGGGUGAAAUUAAAAACAAGGGUUCUUGUAGGUUGACUCGCGUGUUAUAGGAUAAGGCAUUACGGUGUUAUGGGCAGCAGCAGCCGCCCUAGUCCCUGCAAUGCAGAAAGGGAAUGAAACGGCAUGGAACCUUCACAUUGCAUUGAAUGCAAUUAACGUUGUUCUCUUCUUGUGGCAAAUCCCCAGUGGAAUUGACAUAGUUUUUAAAGUGUUUGCACUAAAUGGCCUUGAAUCAUAGAGACCUCGAGUGUGAGCUUUAUUACAAUCCAGGCAGGUAUAUUGUCUCUAUAUCAGGUCACUUGUAUAACCUGCACUCGAAAAAAUUUCCAUCCACUUCCACUGUGAUUGUCUGUAUUCUUGUCAUUAGUAUAUAUGAUCAAGCAGAAAGAAAUGCAUUACCAUGCAAUUGAUGCUCCUCGAUCCGUAAGAAAUAGCAUUUGGACAAUGUUGUAGAUUCAACAGAAAUCCUACCAUAACUCUUCUCAUGGUAUCAACUAAUGUUCGGCAAAAGAAUGUCAGAAGUACUUGCUCAAGUUCUUUUUUCUCAGGCUAUGAUUUUACCAUUUCUUUAGAAUCAAAAUUACAGGAAGAGAAUUUGCAAUUUAUUGAAAUGUAGCAGUACUGCAUUACAGUGAAGAAUCUCUCUCUGUUGAAGGAGUUGAGAAUUAGACCAAGGCAAAUUUCUUUCAAGAUCAUUAGAUUACAAGAAAAUUGGUUUAGCUCAUCAGCACCCAUUAGUAUCUGCAUCUGUCCUUCCCUAAUGUGUUCGAUCUGCAAAUCCAACAAAUGUGUUGACCUUCA
Molecule: long non-coding RNA, 1135 nt
Organism: Populus trichocarpa (black cottonwood)
Lineage: Eukaryota; Viridiplantae; Streptophyta; Magnoliopsida; Malpighiales; Salicaceae
Exons: 2
Source: RefSeq, a predicted model, not a curated record